This 8138-nucleotide unclassified non-coding RNA is filed under the name Leishmania donovani. RNAcentral describes it as "gene:unknown". Lineage: Eukaryota; Euglenozoa; Kinetoplastea; Trypanosomatida; Trypanosomatidae. The record is from RNAcentral.
AUUCAGCGCCUUUGCCCGCACACUGCCCGCUCCCGCACCCGCACACUGCCCGCUCCCGCACCCGCACACUGCCCGCUCCCGCACCCGCAGACCGCCCGCACCCGCACCCGCACACUGCCCGCCCCGCACCCGCACCGCCCGCACCCGCACCCGCACACUGCCCGCUCCCGCACCCGCACACUGCCCGCUCCCGCACCCGCAGACCGCCCGCUCCCGCAGCCGCAGACCGUCCGCACCCGCACCCGCACACUGCCCGAGCCCGCAGCCGCAGACCGUCCGCACCCGUAGCAGCACACUGCCCGAGCCCGCACCCGCAGACCGCCCGCACCCGCACCCGCACACUGCCCGAGCCCGCACCCGCAGACCGUCCGCACCCGCACCCGCACACUGCCCGAGCCCGCAGCCGCAGACCGUCCGCACCCGUAGCAGCACACUGCCCGAGCCCGUAUCCUCGCACUUCCUGUCAAACUCGCGUGCGUCGAUAAUUCGCUCAUCGCUGUGCACCACCCCUCGGCGCCUGUUUGUGUGUCCGUUUCGUAGGUUGGUUUCGCUCUCUUAUAGAUCAGAAUAUCUCCAUACAAGCCGUCAGAACAACGAAGCCGCCCCCCAUCACUGCCUCCCUCUACGUACACCGUUGUUGCCUUUUUUUCGUGGCUGCGGAGUAACCUGUGCAUCUGCGCAGACAUACUCGCCCACCGCACACAGACAUCGACAGACACACGAACCGAAAGAAACGCACGUGCCGAGAAGAGCAGACAGGCGCAGGUGCCUUCUGUGACAAUCUCCCACUGCUCAUCUUCGGUUCCCCUCUCUUUUCCCCUGCAUCGUUCUCUCCACGGGUGUACAUCUGCGCGAUCUCGUCGUUCCUCGAGUCGUAGUGAAGUCUCGUCUCGCCUUCGUCUUGCUCCGCAUAUCGUCGCCUUCCUCCUUUGGCGUUAUUACUGUCCCGCUCGUCAAAUAAGCUCGACAUCUGUCCUCCGUGAUUGUGCGAGUGUCUUUCUCUGUCCUCACUCCCUCGGUGCGUCUGGUGGUGGUUGCGCCACUUUUUCAGAUUCCUGUAGCUGUCACCUCGUUUCAACUUGUUUUCAUCUUUUGCAGGUAUAGAUCCUUGUGUGUUUGCACGCCUUCCGUGGUCGCUGUCUUUACUGCGUCGGUUGGUUGCAGACACCUCUUUUCGUCGACUAUAUAUUUCUUUCGCCCUCGUCUUUUGCAUCUACUCCCAUUCGUUCUCUCAUCUCCCUAUAUAUUUGUUUUUCCCACCCGCGGCUCUUCCUCUCCCUCACUCCCUCGGUGCGUGUGGUGGUGGUUCGCCUCUCUUGUCGAUUCCUGUAGUUGUCGCCUCGUUUCAAAUUGUUUUCAUCUUUUGCAGGUAUAGAUCCUUGUGUGUUUGCACGCCUUCCGUGGUCGCUGUCGUUGCUGUCGUUACUGCGUCGGUUGGUUGCAGACACCUCUUUUCGUCGACUAUAUCUUCUUUCUUUCGCCCUCGUCUUUUACAUCUGUUCCCAUUCGUUCUCCCCUCCCCUAUAUAUUUGUUUUUCCCACCCGCGGCUCUUCCUCUACCUCACUCCCUCGGUGCGUGUGGUGGUGGUGCGCCUCUCUUGUCGAUUCCUGUAGUUGUCGCCUCGUUUCAAAUUGUUUUUUCGAAAAUCAAGCGUGUGUGUUUGCACGCCUUCCGUGGUUGCUGUCGUUGCUGUCGUUACUGCGUCGGUUGGUUGCAGACACCUCUUUCCGUCGACUAUAUCUUUCUUUCGCCCUCGUCUUUUACAUCUAUUCCCAUUCGUUCUCUCAUCUCCCUAUAUAUUUGUUUUUCCCACCCGCGGCUCUUCCUCUCCCUCACUCCCUCGGUGCGUGUGGUGGUGGUUCGCCUCUCUUGUCGAUUCCUGUAGUUGUCGCCUCGUUUCAAAUUGUUUUUCGAAAUCAAGCGUGUGUGUUUGCACGCCUUCCGUGGUUGCUGUCGUUGCUGUCGUUACUGCGUCGGUUGGUUGCAGACACCUCUUUUCGUCGACUAUAUCUUUCUUUCUUUCGCCCUCGUCUUUUACAUCUGUUCCCAUUCGUUCUCUCAUCUCCCUAUAUAUUUGUUUUUCCCACCCGCGGCUCUUCCUCUCCCUCACUCCCUCGGUGCGUGUGGUGGUGGUUGCGCCUCUCUUGUCGAUUCCUGUAGUUGUCGCCUCGUUUCAAAUUGUUUUUUUUUUCGAAAAUCAAGCGUGUGUGUUUGCACGCCUUCCGUGGUUGCUGUCGUUGCUGUCGUUACUGCGUCGGUUGGUUGCAGACACCUCUUUUCGUCGACUAUAUCUUUCUUUCUUUCGCCCUCGUCUUUUACAUCUGUUCCCAUUCGUUCUCUCAUCUCCCUAUAUAUUUGUUUUUCCCACCCGCGGCUCUUCCUCUCCCUCACUCCCUCGGUGCGUGUGGUGGUGGUUCGCCUCUCUUGUCGAUUCCUGUAGUUGUCGCCUCGUUUCAAAUUGUUUUUUCGAAAAUCAAGCGUGUGUGUUUGCACGCCUUCCGUGGUUGCUGUCGUUGCUGUCGUUACUGCGUCGGUUGGUUGCAGACACCUCUUUUCGUCGACUAUAUCUUCUUUCUUUCGCCCUCGUCUUUUACAUCUAUUCCCAUUCGUUCUCUCAUCUCCCUAUAUAUUUGUUUUUCCCACCCGCGGCUCUUCCUCUCCCUCACUCCCUCGGUGCGUGUGGUGGUGGUUCGCCUCUCUUGUCGAUUCCUGUAGUUGUCGCCUCGUUUCAAAUUGUUUUUCGAAAAUCAAGCGUGUGUGUUUGCACGCCUUCCGUGGUUGCUGUCGUUACUGCGUCGGUUGGUUGCAGACACCUCUUUCCGUCGACUAUAUCUUUCUUUCUUUCGCCCUCGUCUUUUACAUCUGUUCCCAUUCGUUGUCUCAUCUCCCUAUAUAUUUGUUUUUCCCACCCGCGGCUCUUCCUCUCCCUCACUCCCUCGGUGCGUGUGGUGGUGGUUCGCCUCUCUUGUCGAUUCCUGUAGUUGUCGCCUCGUUUCAAAUUGUUUUUUUUCGAAAAUCAAGCGUGUGUGUUUGCACGCCUUCCGUGGUUGCUGUCGUUACUGCGUCGGUUGGUUGCAGACACCUCUUUCCGUCGACUAUAUCUUUCUUUCGCCCUCGUCUUUUACAUCUGUUCCCAUUCGUUCUCCCCUCCCCUAUAUAUUUGUUUUUUCCCACCCGCGGCUCUUCCUCUCCCUCACUCCCUCGGUGCGUGUGGUGGUGGUUCGCCUCUUUUUCAGAGUCCUGUAGUUGUCACCUCGUUUCAAAUUGUUUUUUUUUUUCGAAAAUCAAGCGUGUGUGUUUGCACGCCUUCCGUGGUUGCUGUCGUUACUGCGUCGGUUGGUUGCAGACACCUCUUUUCGUCGACUAUAUCUUUCUUUCUUUCGCCCUCGUCUUUUACAUCUGUUCCCAUUCGUUCUCCCCUCCCCUAUAUAUUUGUUUUUUCCCACCCGCGGCUCUUCCUCUCCCUCACUCCCUCGGUGCGUGUGGUGGUGGUUCGCCUCUCUUGUCGAUUCCUGUAGUUGUCGCCUCGUUUCAAAUUGUUUUUUUUUUCGAAAAUCAAGCGUGUGUGUUUGCACGCCUUCCGUGGUUGCUGUCGUUACUGCGUCGGUUGGUUGCAGACACCUCUUUUCGUCGACUAUAUCUUUCUUUCGCCCUCGUCUUUUACAUCUGUUCCCAUUCGUUCUCCCCUCCCCUAUAUAUUUGUUUUUCCCACCCGCGGCUCUUCCUCUCCCUCACUCCCUCGGUGCGUGUGGUGGUGGUUCGCCUCUUUUUCAGAGUCCUGUAGUUGUCACCUCGUUUCAAAUUGUUUUUUUUUUUCGAAAAUCAAGCGUGUGUGUUUGCACGCCUUCCGUGGUUGCUGUCGUUACUGCGUCGGUUGGUUGCAGACACCUCUUUUCGUCGACUAUAUUUUCUUUCUUUCGCCCUCGUCUUUUACAUCUGUUCCCAUUCGUUCUCCCUCCCCUAUAUAUUUGUUUUUCCCACCCGCGGCUCUUCCUCUCCCUCACUCCCUCGGUGCGUGUGGUGGUGGUUCGCCUCUCUUGUCGAUUCCUGUAGUUGUCGCCUCGUUUCAAAUUGUUUUUUUUUUCGAAAAUCAAGCGUGUGUGUUUGCACGCCUUCCGUGGUUGCUGUCGUCGUUACUGCGUCGGUUGGUUGCAGACACCUCUUUCCGUCGACUAUAUCUUUCUUUCUUUCGCCCUCGUCUUUUACAUCUGUUCCCAUUCGUUCUCUCAUCUCCCUAUAUAUUUGUUUUUCCCACCCGCGGCUCUUCCUCUCCCUCACUCCCUCGGUGCGUGUGGUGGUGGUUGCCUCUCUUGUCGAUUCCUGUAGUUGUCGCCUCGUUUCAAAUUAUUUUUUCGAAAAUCAAGCGUGUGUGUUUGCACGCCUUCCGUGGUUGCUGUCUGUCGUUACUGCGUCGGUUGGUUGCAGACACCUCUUUCCGUCGACUAUAUCUUUCUUUCGCCCUCGUCUUUUACAUCUGUUCCCAUUCGUUCUCCCCUCCCCUAUAUAUUUGUUUUUCCCACCCGCGGCUCUUCCUCUCCCUCACUCCCUCGGUGCGUGUGGUGGUGGUUCGCCUCUUUUCAGAGUCCUGUAGUUGUCACCUCGUUUCAAAUUGUUUUUUUUUCGAAAAUCAAGCGUGUGUGUUUGCACGCCUUCCGUGGUUGCUGUCGUUGCUGUCGUUACUGCGUCGGUUGGUUGCAGACACCUCUUUCCGUCGACUAUAUCUUUCUUUCUUUCGCCCUCGUCUUUUACAUCUGUUCCCAUUCGUUCUCUCAUCUCCCUAUAUAUUUGUUUUUCCCACCCGCGGCUCUUCCUCUCCCUCACUCCCUCGGUGCGUGUGGUGGUGGUUCGCCUCUCUUGUCGAUUCCUGUAGUUGUCGCCUCGUUUCAAAUUGUUUUUUCGAAAAUCAAGCGUGUGUGUUUGCACGCCUUCCGUGGUUGCUGUCGUUACUGCGUCGGUUUGUUGCAGACACCUCUUUUCGUCGACUAUAUCUUUCUUUCUUUCGCCCUCGUCUUUUACAUCUGUUCCCAUUCGUUCUCUCAUCUCCCUAUAUAUUUGUUUUUCCCACCCGCGGCUCUUCCUCUCCCUCACUCCCUCGGUGCGUGUGGUGGUGGUUCGCCUCUUUUUGAGAUUCCUGUAGUUGUCGCCUCGUUUCAAAUUGUUUUUUUUCGAAAAUCAAGCGUGUGUGUUUGCACGCCUUCCGUGGUUGCUGUCGUUGCUGUCGUUACUGCGUCGGUUGGUUGCAGACACCUCUUUCCGUCGACUAUAUCUUUCUUUCUUUCGCCCUCGUCUUUUACAUCUGUUCCCAUUCGUUCUCUCAUCUCCCUAUAUAUUUGUUUUUCCCACCCGCGGCUCUUCCUCUCCCUCACUCCCUCGGUGCGUGUGGUGGUGGUUCGCCUCUCUUGUCGAUUCCUGUAGUUGUCGCCUCGUUUCAAAUUGUUUUUUCGAAAAUCAAGCGUGUGUGUUUGCACGCCUUCCGUGGUUGCUGUCGUUACUGCGUCGGUUGGUUGCAGACACCUCUUUUCGUCGACUAUAUCUUUCUUUCUUUCGCCCUCGUCUUUUACAUCUGUUCCCAUUCGUUCUCUCAUCUCCCUAUAUAUUUGUUUUUCCCACCCGCGGCUCUUCCUCUCCCUCACUCCCUCGGUGCGUGUGGUGGUGGUUCGCCUCUUUUUGAGAUUCCUGUAGUUGUCGCCUCGUUUCAAAUUGUUUUUUUUCGAAAAUCAAGCGUGUGUGUUUGCACGCCUUCCGUGGUUGCUGUCGUUGCUGUCGUUACUGCGUCGGUUGGUUGCAGACACCUCUUUCCGUCGACUAUAUCUUUCUUUCUUUCGCCCUCGUCUUUUACAUCUGUUCCCAUUCGUUCUCUCAUCUCCCUAUAUAUUUGUUUUUCCCACCCGCGGCUCUUCCUCUCCCUCACUCCCUCGGUGCGUGUGGUGGUGGUUUGCCUCUCUUGUCGAUUCCUGUAGUUGUCGCCUCGUUUCAAAUUGUUUUUCGAAAAUCAAGCGUGUGUGUUUGCACGCCUUCCGUGGUUGCUGUCGUUGCUGUCGUUACUGCGUCGGUUGGUUGCAGACACCUCUUUCCGUCGACUAUUUCUUUCUUUCGCCCUCGUCUUUUACAUCUGUUCCCAUUCGUUCUCCCCUCCCCUAUAUAUUUGUUUUUCCCACCCGCGGCUCUUCCUCUCCCUCACUCCCUCGGUGCGUGUGGUGGUGGUUGCGCCUCUCUUGUCGAUUCCUGUAGUUGUCGCCUCGUUUCAAAUUGUUUUUUCGAAAAUCAAGCGUGUGUGUUUGCACGCCUUCCGUGGUUGCUGUCGUUACUGCGUCGGUUGGUUGCAGACACCUCUUUCCGUCGACUAUAUCUUUUUUCUUUCGCCCUCGUCUUUUACAUCUGUUCCCAUUCGUUCUCUCAUCUCCCUAUAUAUUUGUUUUUCCCACCCGCGGCUCUUCCUCUCCCUCACUCCCUCGGUGCGUGUGGUGGUGGUUGCCUCUCUUGUCGAUUCCUGUAGUUGUCGCCUCGUUUCAAAUUGUUUUUCGAAAAUCAAGCGUGUGUGUUUGCACGCCUUCCGUGGUUGCUGUCGUUACUGCGUCGGUUGGUUGCAGACACCUCUUUCCGUCGACUAUAUCUUUCUUUCUUUCGCCCUCGUCUUUUACAUCUGUCCCAUUCGUUCUCUCAUCUCCCUAUAUAUUUGUUUUUCCCACCCGCGGCUCUUCCUCUCCCUCACUCCCUCGGUGCGUGUGGUGGUGGUUGCCUCUCUUGUCGAUUCCUGUAGUUGUCGCCUCGUUUCAAAUUGUUUUUUCGAAAAUCAAGCGUGUGUGUUUGCACGCCUUCCGUGGUUGCUGUCGUUGCUGUCGUUACUGCGUCGGUUGGUUGCAGACACCUCUUUCCGUCGACUAUAUCUUUCUUUCGCCCUCGUCUUUUACAUCUAUUCCAUUCGUUCUCUCAUCUCCCUAUAUAUUUGUUUUUCCCACCCGCGGCUCUUCCUCUCCCUCACUCCCUCGGUGCGUGUGGUGGUGGUUCGCCUCUUUUUCAGAGUCCUGUAGUUGUCACCUCGUUUCAAAUUGUUUUUUCGAAAAUCAAGCGUGUGUGUUUGCACGCCUUCCGUGGUUGCUGUCGUUGCUGUCGUUACUGCGUCGGUUGGUUGCAGACACCUCUUUCGUCGACUAUAUAUAUCUUUCUUUCGUCCUCGUCUUGUGUAUUUACGCGCAUUCUCUCAUAUCCCUUUUUUUGGUCAGAUCUGAGCCUGACGCUGUCUCGCGAUGCGCUCUUGGCGGUGUGCUCUGUCGGGUCUGCCGUCUCCGUUGCUCUUUUUUUUGGCGUCGCAGACGCUUAUGGUGUUGCUACCUCUUUCCGUAAAGUGCAGAAUCUCGGAGUCCUUCGAGAGCGACAGAUGAGGAAUGAUGUGUGUGUGUUGUCGACGUGGAUGUUCUGUAUUAACGAGCUAUCAGGUUUUUUUUUUUCGGCCGCGUGUGUUUUAGAGCUAUAUGUUUCCUCUCUCUUUCUAUAAACCGCUGUGGGUCGGAGAUCGAUAUGCGGGUUGGGAAACUGUAUAAGUGUGUGCUUAAGUGUAUAUUUGUGGGUGGGUCCGACGGAUUUGGUUCUUCCUAUUUUCCUGGGGACGUUGGUUGCUCUACGUAUGGUUUGGUGGCGUGGCGCUAGGGGUGUGUGGCGCUGUGGAUGUUGAAUGCUGGGGGCGCGUGUCAGGCGUGCGCGUGCGUGGUGAAGUGAAGAGGUGGAAUUGUGUGGCAGAGGAGGUGUGCUUCGGCUGGUUGUCGCGCAUAGCAGCUUGUAUGGGAGAGCAGCAAGAACUGUUGCGUGCCUGAAAACAAAAUGAACAGAAAGGCUGUCGGCGGGCUUCUCUUUGGCUUUUUGAGUCUCAAUCGAUGAGAGUGAAGUGGGACGCUGCGCAUGCGGCUGCUGACAAGGGAGUGACCCAGGCCUCGUCAGCCGCUCUCUCCCCUUUUCUCUCCCUGCCUCGGAAGUGUCCAGCGCCGGUGAUGUCGUACAUGUCUGAAGAGGGUUUCCUCUCCAUGGCUCCUCGAGGCGCCCAUACAUGUCGACAUGUGGACAAAUGCACAGCGAUACACAUACGCCUCCUUCCCUCAACCCCGAGUGCGCUCCCACCGGUCACCAGCGGUGCUUCACACAG